This 495-nucleotide ribosomal RNA is filed under the name uncultured bacterium. RNAcentral's name for it is "partial 16S ribosomal RNA". It matches the Rfam family "Bacterial small subunit ribosomal RNA", at positions 28 to 507 of the family's 1533-position model. The record is from RNAcentral.
GACGAACGCUGGCGGCGUGCCUAAUACAUGCAAGUAGAACGCUGAAGGAGGAGCUUGCUUCUCCGGAUGAGUUGCGAACGGGUGAGUAACGCGUAGGUAACCUGCCUGGUAGCGGGGGAUAACUAUUGGAAACGAUAGCUAAUACCGCAUAACAGUAGAUGUUGCAUGACAUUUGCUUAAAAGGUGCAAUUGCAUCACUACCAGAUGGACCUGCGUUGUAUUAGCUAGUUGGUGAGGUAACGGCUCACCAAGGCGACGAUACAUAGCCGACCUGAGAGGGGGAUCGGCCACACUGGGACUGAGACACGGCCCAGACUCCUACGGGAGGAAGCAGUAGGGAAGCUUCGGCAAUGGACGGAAGUCUGACCGAGCAACGCCGCGUGAGUGAAGAAGGUUGUCGGAUCGUAAAGCUCUGUUGUAAGAGAAGAACGAGUGUGAGAGUGGAAAGUUCACACUGUGACGGUAUCUUACCAGAAAGGGACGGCUAACUACGUG